GAACGAUGAAGCCCAGCUUUGCUGGGUGGAUUAGUGGGCGAACGGGUGAGUAACACGUGAGCAACCUGCCCCUGACUCUGGGAUAAGCGCUGGAAACGGCGUCUAAUACUGGAUAUGUCCCGUCACCGCAUGGUGUGCGGGUGGAAAGAUUUUUCGGUUGGGGAUGGGCUCGCGGCCUAUCAGCUUGUUGGUGAGGUAAUGGCUCACCAAGGCGUCGACGGGUAGCCGGCCUGAGAGGGUGACCGGCCACACUGGGACUGAGACACGGCCCAGACUCCUACGGGAGGCAGCAGUGGGGAAUAUUGCACAAUGGGCGGAAGCCUGAUGCAGCAACGCCGCGUGAGGGAUGACGGCCUUCGGGUUGUAAACCUCUUUUAGCAGGGAAGAAGCGAGAGUGACGGUACCUGCAGAAAAAGCACCGGCUAACUACGUGCCAGCAGCCGCGGUAAUACGUAGGGUGCAAGCGUUAUCCGGAAUUAUUGGGCGUAAAGAGCUCGUAGGCGGUCUGUCGCGUCUGCUGUGAAAUCCCGAGGCUCAACCUCGGGCUUGCAGUGGGUACGGGCAGACUAGAGUGCGGUAGGGGAGAUUGGAAUUCCUGGUGUAGCGGUGGAAUGCGCAGAUAUCAGGAGGAACACCGAUGGCGAAGGCAGAUCUCUGGGCCGUAACUGACGCUGAGGAGCGAAAGGGUGGGGAGCAAACAGGCUUAGAUACCCUGGUAGUCCACCCCGUAAACGUUGGGAACUAGUUGUGGGGUCCUUUCCACGGAUUCCG
This 771-nucleotide ribosomal RNA is filed under the name Microbacterium esteraromaticum. RNAcentral describes it as "bacterial SSU rRNA". It matches the Rfam family "Bacterial small subunit ribosomal RNA", at positions 64 to 843 of the family's 1533-position model. The record is from RNAcentral. Lineage: Bacteria; Bacillati; Actinomycetota; Actinomycetes; Micrococcales; Microbacteriaceae.